AACGAACGCUGGCGGCAUGCUUAACACAUGCAAGUUGUGCGAGAACUAAGAAGCUUGCUUCUUGGGGACAGCAGCGCACGGGUGAGUAACGCGUGGGUAACGUACCCUAGGGUUGGGAAUAACUCACCGAAAGGUGAGCUAAUACCGAAUACGUUCCUGAGAGAUGCGUCUCUUAGGAAGAAAGCAGGGCAACCUGCGCCCUUGGAUCGGCCCGCGUUCCAUCAGUUUGUUGGUGGGGUAAUGGCCUACCAAGACUACGACGGAUAGCUGGUCUGAGAGGAUGAUCAGCCACACUGGGACUGAGACACGGCCCAGACUCCUACGGGAGGCAGCAGUGGGGAAUAUUGGUCAAUGGGCGAAAGCCUGAACCAGCAAUGCCGCGUGAGUGAUGAAGGCCUUCGGGUUGUAAAGCUCUGUCAGUGGGAACGAAUAAGCCGAUUAAUACUCGGUGGUGACGGUACCCACAAAGGAAGCACCGGCUAACUCUGUGCCAGCAGCCGCAGUAACAC
Molecule: ribosomal RNA, 509 nt
Filed under: uncultured bacterium
Lineage: Bacteria
Description: bacterial SSU rRNA
Rfam family: Bacterial small subunit ribosomal RNA
Source: RNAcentral